GAUGAACGCUGGCGGCGUGCCUAAUACAUGCAAGUCGAGCGAACAGAUAAGGAGCUUGCUCCUUUGACGUUAGCGGCGGACGGGUGAGUAACACGUGGGUAACCUACCUAUAAGACUGGGAUAACUUCGGGAAACCGGAACUAAUACCGGAUAACAUUUGGAACCGCAUGGUUCUAAAGUGAAAGAUGGUUUUGCUAUCACUUAUAGAUGGACCCGCGCCGUAUUAGCUAGUUGGUAAGGUAACGGCUUACCAAGGCGACGAUACGUAGCCGACCUGAGAGGGUGAUCGGCCACACUGGAACUGAGACACGGUCCAGACUCCUACGGGAGGCAGCAGUAGGGAAUCUUCCGCAAUGGGCGAAAGCCUGACGGAGCAACGCCGCGUGAGUGAUGAAGGGUUUCGGCUCGUAAAACUCUGUUAUUAGGGAAGAACAAAUGUGUAAGUAACUGUGCACGUCCUGACGGUACCUAAUCAGAAAGCCACGGCUAACUACGUG
RNAcentral lists this ribosomal RNA (497 nucleotides) under uncultured bacterium. RNAcentral's name for it is "partial 16S ribosomal RNA". It matches the Rfam family "Bacterial small subunit ribosomal RNA", at positions 28 to 507 of the family's 1533-position model. The record is from RNAcentral.